Molecule: long non-coding RNA, 1674 nt
Organism: Oncorhynchus mykiss (rainbow trout)
Lineage: Eukaryota; Metazoa; Chordata; Actinopteri; Salmoniformes; Salmonidae
Source: Ensembl
CCAAGCCCUGACUCUAACCUUAACCUUUACCCUACCCCUGACUGUAACCUUAACCUUUACCCUACCCCUGACUCUAACAUUAACCUUUACCCUACCCCUGACUCUAACAUUAACCUUUACCCUAACCCUACCCCUGACUCUAACCUUAACCUUUACCCUAACCCUACCCCUGACUCUAACCUUAACCUUUACCCUAACCCUACCCCUGACUCUAACCUUAAACUCUACCCUACCCCUGACUCUAACCUUAACCUUUACCCUAACCCUACCCCUGAAUCUAACUUUAACCUUUACCCUAACCCAUACCCCUGACUCUAACCUUAACCUUUACCCUACCCCUGACUAUAACCUUAACCUUUACCCUACCCCUGACUAUAACCUUAACCUUAACCCUACCCCUGACUCUAAUCUUAACCUUUACCCUAACCCUACCCCUGACUCUAACCUUAACCUUUACCCUAACCCUACCCCUGACUCUAACUUUAACCUUUACCCUAACCCUACCCCUGACUCCAAAUUUAACCUUUACCCUAACCCUACCCCUGAAUAUAACUUUAACCUUUACCCUAACCCUACCCCUGACUCUAACCUUAACCUUUACCCUACCCCUGACUCUAACCUUAACCUUAACCCUACCCCUGACUCUAAUCUUAACCUUUACCCUAACCCUACCCCUGACUCUAACCUUAACCUUUACCCUAACCCUACCCCUGACUCUAACUUUAACCUUUACCCUAACCCUACCCCUGACUCCAAAUUUAACCUUUACCCUAACCCUACCCCUGAAUAUAACUUUAACCUUUACCCUAACCCUACCCCUGACUCUAACCUUAACCUUUACCCUAUCCCUGACUCUAACCUUAACCUUAACCCUACCCCUGACUCUAAUCUUAACCUUUACCCUAACCCUACCCCUGACUCUAACCUUAACCUUUACCCUAACCCUACCACAGACUCUAACUUUAACCUUUACCCUAACCCUACCCCUGACUCCAAAUUUAACCUUUACCCUAACCCAAGCCCUGACUCUAACUUUAACCUUUACCCUAACCCUGCCCCUGACUCCAAAUUUAACCUUUACCCUAACCCUACCCCUGACUCUAACCUUAACCUUUACCCUAACCCAAGCCCUAACUCUAACGCUAACCUUAACACGAAUAACAUGGCCAGCUACUAUUAUCAGCAAAUCUUCUUGAAUCCCUUGCCAUUUUGACAUGAAUUUAAACUUGAAAUUAGCCUCUUUUGUAAGCUGGAGAAAUUGUUAAGCUCCAAGGAGACAUCAACAUUUCAGCAACCAUGCCUGCAAACAUUUCCACACACAUUUAAGAAAAUGCCAUUAUUGCAAUUGCCAUAGAUUAUCUAACUAACAAAUCUAACAUCAAGCCAACCAAACAAAUCAUAUAAGGCAGAGGGUGGUUUCACAUUGCAGUGUUACAAUCUAAAGUGUUUUGAGAAGAAGUGGCUUGUGAUGUUAUAUAAUUGCAUUGAUUAUCACACAUCAAGAUUGUGACACUGUUAAGAUGCAGCAUUGUGAGUCAUUGGAAAAGCAGGCGAAUUGAAAAUCCAUGUUUCAAUUACAGUGGACUAUGAUUUACUGACACAAAAUCAUGUGAAUGACAUUUGCAAAGGGAAGAAAAACUAUCUCUUACAUACAUUAUAAUUUGAAUUGUACCU